Long non-coding RNA from Ananas comosus (pineapple), 218 nucleotides. RefSeq lists it as uncharacterized. NCBI's taxonomy places the organism in Eukaryota, Viridiplantae, Streptophyta, Magnoliopsida, Poales, Bromeliaceae. The transcript is spliced from 4 exons. The record is from RefSeq and is a predicted model, not a curated record.
UGAACCAGUGAGGUGCUGGUUGAAGCUUGAGAAGGUCUUCGAGCUUUGUUGAGCUGAAUUUGUACUCUUAGAAGCUGAUUUGGAAGCUGCUCUAAUCAAGGCGAGAGGGUGUUUGACCCUUGGACCGCCUUCGUUUGGCCUUGGAGGGCCUUCUGGAAGCUUAACGUGAGGAUUGAGACCUAGUGGAGCUGAUCCUUGGGACUCCUUUGGACUAAUUG